AUGGCCACUCUCUCUACACUGCUGUGUGACUUGAGGCCAGAAGAAGAGCCUUUGAAUUUAUGUUAACUUUUCUCAGUUUUCUUUUAUCAUCACAGGGAACCCAGCAAACUGUGUUUUUUUCCCUAAAUGUAACUAGCUGAAUAAAAUAUGAGCCUAUACUUCAAGGAACACCUGGUUGGAAGUUUUUCUUCAUUGCUUCCACUCACACUGCCUGCUUCCCACAGUAUAACAUUUGGUGGCAGUGGUGGGAUGGUACACCUUUGUUGAAGUGGAAGGAGGUAAAGAAGACAGACCAGAUGACAGGUGUGGGCCGUGGAAGAGGCCGAGCCACACGGCAAAAUCUCGCUCAUCAGGAGAGCAGUGACAGUGGGGAGGAGAGGAGUUUGGAGCCAGAGUUCCCACAAAAAGGGGCUAAUGCAUCUUCUCAAGAGCCACCAGACAGCUGCCACGUCAUAGCAGCUGAACCAGUUGACAAGGGACCAGUGGUUCGACCUAAAGUGACUGUGAGUACUCCAAGAGCUACAUUUUCUGAUGAUAGCUUUGUUAGAGAAAUGAGAGACUUUAUUCAACAUUCAAAACACACAGAAGAAAUUUGGUUUGAACAAAUGAAACUGUUGAGAUCAGGUGCACUCAAAACCAGAACCUGAACCAGAGUGGAUGUCAGAAGGACAAUUAAGCCAGCACUAUCCUCUUCCAAAACCUGUUCGUUCCCAAGUCCAAACAACUGACAUUUCAGCUUUCAUGCCUGCAGACAUUCCACUGAGGCCAAAGACCCAGAGUCAGCUUUAUCAGCCAUGUUUAUUUUAUUUGAUGAAAAAUCCAAAAGUGAAAAACCAACUAAUGGUGCAACAACAAUAAUAACUAGUAUAUGAAGAGAGCUUUUUAAAUAAUAAAAACUGACACUAGUUGACGUCUCCGGUCAAGGAUAAGUGUCCAGUGCCCUCUGAGGAAGUUUAAUCUGAGCUUGCUAAACAGUCCAGGUGUGAACAAGCUGCAUCCUCAGGUGCUGCAAAAAGAGAGCAAGUGCCACAAGCUGCAGUUCCUCCAAUGACCACUUGAGGCUGCCAGCAUAGAGGCUGAAGACAGGACCGGAGAUACAGCAGCAGACCUCAGACCAGCUGUGAGCCCCUGUCUCUGCAGAGAGCGUCAGAUAAACUGCAGACGUGACAAGCUCCCCGACACAUCAGCACAAAGUCUGAGAGAGCCUGAGACAGCACAAAGCCCAGUGUGAACAAUUGAACAACAGGGUGGAUGAAUUAUGAAUGAAUAAUCCCACACAGCCUCCCUCAGCAGCAUCCGUCCCAUCUCAUGUACCUGUCCUCACCUGGUCCUCUGCCAGUUAUCCGGGCGCCCUCUCUGCAGAGCUGAUUAGAGGCCCCUUCCUGUAACAGAGGACGAGACAAGGACAACCGGCUCUCCGUCUGCCAGGAAAGCUCUUAGACUCCGCCGCCUGGGCCGAGGCGGAGGCUGAAUGAAGACGGAUGGUCUAAUCCUGAGAAGAAACGGUGGUUUAAAUGUUGGCCUGAGAAGAGGCCGUCACACAGGACUGUAUUUAAUGAGGUAAUCACUGCUGUAGCGAAAGUUAUCCAGUCAGCGUCUUUUAGUUUCUUUCACAUUCAAAUCAAACAUUUUUGUAGCUUUGAGUCCAAAUGUUUCCUUGAUUAUUUGUGUUAUACCUUUUUUCUCUAAAAACCCAGAGUGAACUUUAAUGCUCAUGGUGGUGUUGAUGAUACUUCAGGUCUCCUGCUCACUGGAGGGCGCCAAACAGCAGUAAGAGAGUCUUUACUUCAACUGGACUCUAAAGAUUUUUUCUUUAGCUCAGUCACUCAGGGCCCAGUUCAAGUGUUUCCUUGCUCUCCUCCUCUCCUCUUCUCCUCUCUCUUGAUCUGUUCACACAUCUCACUGUCUCUGUCUUCAUUCUCAAGGCUGUGACAUUUAAAGAAUCUCUCUUUUCACCUGCUCCUUAAGUUGUUCAAUUCAUAUUUUUAUUAUUUACUUUCCAAGCCUUGACAUUUUUUUAGCGAUGUUAGCAGUGUAGCUCUUAAAAGGGAAAUGUCAGCCUGUCAGUCGGGUCAAGUCUAUGAUGCCUUUCAUACUUUUAUUUAUUUGACCAAAUACUGACUGACAUUCAGGCGCAGUCCUUUGGUAUUAUAGGUAUACCUCAAAGCAAUAAAAACAAGAUUAAUACACUGA
This is a long non-coding RNA of Notolabrus celidotus (New Zealand spotty), 2193 nucleotides long. RefSeq lists it as uncharacterized. The record is from RefSeq and is a predicted model, not a curated record. NCBI's taxonomy places the organism in Eukaryota, Metazoa, Chordata, Actinopteri, Labriformes, Labridae. The transcript is spliced from 4 exons.